Molecule: non-coding RNA, 94 nt
Organism: Delphinella strobiligena
Lineage: Eukaryota; Fungi; Ascomycota; Dothideomycetes; Dothideales; Dothioraceae
Source: the annotation of a GenBank genome assembly
GCACCAUUGGGUUAGUGGUAAACUACGGCCUUGCCAUCUUCCGAUAUUAUUACGCAAGUUGGCCGUGCCCCAUGUUCGAUUCAUGGAUGGUGCA